ACAGCAAAUGUAAUUACCAGAACGUGAUAAACACCACUUUGUUAGCAGCGACCAUGGGAGGCUUCUCCUGUUUCAGAUGUUUCUGACAACGAGCAGAAAGAGAACUCGAGGUCAAUCCUAAUGUCUGGAUACAGAAUCAGGUGCAUGAGGAAAGGCAGAAGAGGAAAUAAGGGACUUUUCAUUGAAUCCAGAGUUGGCUGUGGCCAAUAACUAAAUCAAAGUCCGGCUCUGCUCACAGCCAGACAAGUGUUUGCACCAAGGACAGAACUUGGCCCAGGGCUGCUGGUCCUUGACCCUAUGAAUCAUCCUUCCCAUCUACUGAACAAGACAAAGCACGGAUUUUCACAUGCAAGAACACCUAACACAUCUACAGACUUACUGAUUACAGAGGGUCUCAGUGGCUCCCAUACUUGCGUUGAACAACAGCUUGGGAACAUCCAUCAUUCAUUGUGGCUGCUCCUGGCCCAGAAAACCUUCCAGAUAUUCACUUUGAAUACAGUCCCCAGAAUGGCCAGCCCAGACUGUGGCCUAGGAUAAUCCAGGCAGGAAAAAUCCCGGUGUACCUGUCUUAGAUGUUUGCUUCUCCCUCCUGUUCCAAACCCAACAAAGAGCACUGAAAUAUUCCUGGUGGGUUACUCCAAGUGAGGUACCAGGAGGCAUUCCUGACCAUCUUCCAGUAGUAGCUAACUCAAUACCUCCACUCUCCAUGGUUGAAAAAUCAUGGGACAAAUAUGAUUAAUAACUAGGAAUGGCUGAAAAACAAACAAACAAACAACACCACUGCCACCAUUACCUGCUUCUUUCGGCUGCACACUGUAUUUUGCCUUGGGUUCAUAACAUAAUACACUCACCCUACAGGAACAUGGGCCUUGACUUUCCUCCUUGGAGGCCAGGGGUACCCUGGGAGCACUUUGCCUAUAGGAACCUGUGUUGAGGAAGGUGAUCUGGACAUGGACACAAAUGUUUUCAAGCAUGAGUUGCACCACACCUUUUCAGGUCCCAGCUCCAGUAACUGCUCAUGUCCCCACCAGCACUGGUGGGCCUUCUUUGCCCACCUUUCAGCCUUCCCAGUCUACAUGCAGUGGGAUAUCCUCCAUCUCCUUCUAAUGCUGGAGAGGCCAUGAGCAUGAGGACAGAAAAGCAGAGGAAUCACUGAGUUGCUCAUACAUGGGGAACCAAAGUCAGUCUUGGUCUUUUCAUAUCUUCUUGUUGCUGUUUGUGUCAUGACACUGCCAUCUCCAGCUGGCUUGGAGGAAGAGGUCUGUGUCUCUUUAAACUUUCCACUGCCUUCCCCAGGAGGUGUCUCUCACCCCUUCCUCUCCCAGACUUUGUGCUAACACAGAGGGAACAUGACCAGAUUGACAAAUGUCCCACAUCUCCAACCUGCCCUGAGACCACAGUGUUGACAUCUCACUUGUGCCACACUCUGUGGAUUUGGUCCCAUCCAGCUUGCUGCAUCUUUCUUAUCCAACUGGGAAACACAUUUCUUCUGCUCUUGGCUAUGAGUAAGAGCCUGGGUGCUUGCAAAAAAAUCUUUAUACAGCUGAGCAAACACUGAAGGAGAAGCCAGACCAAGAGAUGAAAUGAUCUGCUGUGGUUGGGGUCAGAUGCCUGCUCAUGUACAGAAGUAGGUAGCCUCAUGCCAUGAAAUCCGGAAUAAUUUAGUGCGUUUGGCAGAACUUCAUGAAAAUGUGGCUCUGGAUAAUUAAAAGCAGCCUGAAGCCAUGUGGGUCUCCACUCAUCGCUAGUUCCUGGAAGGAUUGCCUUUAGAGGCAGCAACCAUGCACACACACUCAUGGCUGCCCAGGCAUUUCCUUGCCUGGCAGGCUGGAAGCAGGAUAAUUUUGAGGAUAUCAUGUACCUCAGUGUGUAUCGUCAGAGCAGGCUGUGCUCUGGAGCAAUCUGCAUCCACUGAUGGUGAGCAAGAUGGUCCAGAUUUCUCCACCAGGCGGUAGGACACUGAUGUAUUCUUGCCUUGCCCUGCACCAAGCUUCGAGUUCAGAGGGUGGGGAAAAGCUCCCUUUUCAACCCCAAAUUGAGACUACUCACAACUGAUAUCAAACUGAAGACUUCAUGCACUGCUUCAGGUCAACCCUGCUACAUGACACUGUAUGACAUCAAAUGGUCAAGCUGCCUCAUAAUAAAGAAAAAGGGUGCCUCUAUCAGGCACUCUAGGAAUAGAGACAUUUCCCCAUUUCCUUCCUUGGAAAUACUCAGAACACCUUCUGGGUUCUACAAAUAAAGGAAUUAUCAUGUGCAAUGGAAA
This is a long non-coding RNA of Gallus gallus (chicken), 2266 nucleotides long. RefSeq lists it as uncharacterized. NCBI's taxonomy places the organism in Eukaryota, Metazoa, Chordata, Aves, Galliformes, Phasianidae. The transcript has 2 exons. The record is from RefSeq and is a predicted model, not a curated record.